AUUGAACGCUGGCGGCAGGCCUAACACAUGCAAGUCGAGCGGAUGAAGGGAGCUUGCUCCUGGAUUCAGCGGCGGACGGGUGAGUAAUGCCUAGGAAUCUGCCUGGUAGUGGGGGAUAACGUCCGGAAACGGGCGCUAAUACCGCAUACGUCCUGAGGGAGAAAGUGGGGGAUCUUCGGACCUCACGCUAUCAGAUGAGCCUAGGUCGGAUUAGCUAGUUGGUGGGGUAAAGGCCUACCAAGGCGACGAUCCGUAACUGGUCUGAGAGGAUGAUCAGUCACACUGGAACUGAGACACGGUCCAGACUCCUACGGGAGGCAGCAGUGGGGAAUAUUGGACAAUGGGCGAAAGCCUGAUCCAGCCAUGCCGCGUGUGUGAAGAAGGUCUUCGGAUUGUAAAGCACUUUAAGUUGGGAGGAAGGGCAGUAAGUUAAUACCUUGCUGUUUUGACGUUACCAACAGAAUAAGCACCGGCUAACUUCGUGCCAGCAGCCGCGGUAAUACGAAGGGUGCAAGCGUUAAUCGGAAUUACUGGGCGUAAAGCGCGCGUAGGUGGUUCAGCAAGUUGGAUGUGAAAUCCCCGGGCUCAACCUGGGAACUGCAUCCAAAACUACUGAGCUAGAGUACGGUAGAGGGUGGUGGAAUUUCCUGUGUAGCGGUGAAAUGCGUAGAUAUAGGAAGGAACACCAGUGGCGAAGGCGACCACCUGGACUGAUACUGACACUGAGGUGCGAAAGCGUGGGGAGCAAACAGGAUUAGAUACCCUGGUAGUCCACGCCGUAAACGAUGUCGACUAGCCGUUGGGAUCCUUGAGAUCUUAGUGGCGCAGCUAACGCGAUAAGUCGACCGCCUGGGGAG
Molecule: ribosomal RNA, 857 nt
Filed under: uncultured Pseudomonadales bacterium
Lineage: Bacteria; Pseudomonadati; Pseudomonadota; Gammaproteobacteria; Pseudomonadales
Description: bacterial SSU rRNA
Rfam family: Bacterial small subunit ribosomal RNA
Source: RNAcentral